Molecule: long non-coding RNA, 221 nt
Filed under: Medicago truncatula (barrel medic)
Lineage: Eukaryota; Viridiplantae; Streptophyta; Magnoliopsida; Fabales; Fabaceae
Description: long non-coding RNA (MTRU_LNC007363)
Source: RNAcentral
CUAAAAUAUCAAAACAGCCCUCAACUAAAUAUUUUAUAUUAUUUUCAAAUCUUUAUUCUAUUUAACAAUAAAAUAAAUCUCAUAACCUUAUCAAAUCUUCCAAAACUCAUAACUUAUCACGUCAUCAAUCAAAUCACUAAAAUCAUCGUAAAUCAUCAAAACAUAUCAAAAUCAUGCAUAUACUAUAUAAUUAUAAUAUAAUCGCCUAAACUCGAUUAAAU